AAUAUGUGGCAUACGGCUCAGUAACACGUAGUCAACAUGCCCAGGGGACGUGGAUAACCUCGGGAAACUGAGGAUAAACCGCGAUAGGUCAUCACUUCUGGAAUGGGUAAUGACUUAAAUCUACAUGGCCCCUGGAUUGGACUGCGGCCGAUCAGGCUGUUGGUGAGGUAAUGGCCCACCAAACCUGUAACCGGUACGGGCUCUGAGAGGAGGAGCCCGGAGAUGGGCACUGAGACAAGGGCCCAGGCCCUAUGGGGCGCAGCAGGCGCGAAACCUCUGCAAUAGGCGAAAGCUUGACAGGGUUACUCUGAGUGAUUUCCGUUAAGGAGAUCUUUUGGCACCUCUAAAAAUGGUGCAGAAUAAGGGGUGGGCAAGUCUGGUGUCAGCCGCCGCGGUAAUACCAGCACCCCGAGUGGUCGGGACGUUUAUUGGGCCUAAAGCAUCCGUAGCCGGUUCUACAAGUCUUCCGUUAAAUCCACCUGCUUAACAGAUGGGCCGCGGAAGAUACUAUAGAGCUAGGAGGCGGGAGAGGCAAGCGGUACUCGAUGGGUAGGGGUAAAAUCCGUUGAUCCAUUGAAGACCACCAGUGGCGAAGGCGGCUUGCCAGAACGCGCUCGACGGUGAGGGAUGAAAGCUGGGGGAGCAAACCGGAUUAGAUACCCGGGUAGUCCCAGCUGUAAACGA
This 684-nucleotide ribosomal RNA is filed under the name uncultured Nitrososphaerota archaeon. RNAcentral describes it as "bacterial SSU rRNA". It matches the Rfam family "Archaeal small subunit ribosomal RNA", at positions 73 to 760 of the family's 1478-position model. The record is from RNAcentral. Lineage: Archaea; Thermoproteati; Nitrososphaerota.